This 253-nucleotide ribosomal RNA is filed under the name uncultured bacterium. Its description in RNAcentral is "partial 16S ribosomal RNA". It matches the Rfam family "Bacterial small subunit ribosomal RNA", at positions 524 to 776 of the family's 1533-position model. The record is from RNAcentral.
UACGUAGGGGGCAAGCGUUGUCCGGAAUCAUUGGGCGUAAAGAGCGCGUAGGCGGCCCUGUAAGUCCGCUGUGAAAGUCAGGGGCUCAACCCUUGGAUGCCGGUGGAUACUGCAGGGCUAGAGUCCGGAAGAGGCGAGUGGAAUUCCUGGUGUAGCGGUGAAAUGCGCAGAUAUCAGGAGGAACACCAAUGGCGAAGGCAGCACUCUGGGACGUGACUGACGCUGAGACGCGAAAGCGUGGGGAGCAAACAGG